Molecule: ribosomal RNA, 498 nt
Filed under: uncultured bacterium
Lineage: Bacteria
Description: partial 16S ribosomal RNA
Rfam family: Bacterial small subunit ribosomal RNA
Source: RNAcentral
GACGAACGCUGGCGGCGUGCCUAAUACAUGCAAGUCGAGCGGACGGAUGGGAGCUUGCUCCCAGACCGUCAGCGGCGGACGGGUGAGUAAUACGUGGGCAACCUGCCUGUAAGACUGGGAUAACUCCGGGAAACCGGGGCUAAUACCGGAUAACUCUUUCCCUCACAUGAGGGAAAGCUGAAAGAUGGCAUCUCGCUAUCACUUACAGAUGGGCCCGCGGCGCAUUAGCUAGUUGGUGAGGUAACGGCUCACCAAGGCGACGAUGCGUAGCCGACCUGAGAGGGUGAUCGGCCACACUGGGACUGAGACACGGCCCAGACUCCUACGGGAGGCAGCAGUAGGGAAUCUUCCGCAAUGGACGAAAGUCUGACGGAGCAACGCCGCGUGAGUGAUGAAGGUUUUCGGAUCGUAAAACUCUGUUGUCAGGGAAGAACAAGUACCGGAGUAACUGCCGGUACCUUGACGGUACCUGACCAGAAAGCCACGGCUAACUACGUG